RNAcentral lists this transfer RNA (77 nucleotides) under Corynebacterium urealyticum DSM 7109. RNAcentral describes it as "tRNA-Pro-CGG-1-1". It matches the Rfam family "tRNA". Rfam says of the family: Transfer RNA (tRNA) molecules are approximately 80 nucleotides in length. Their secondary structure includes four short double-helical elements and three loops (D, anti-codon, and T loops). The record is from RNAcentral. Lineage: Bacteria; Bacillati; Actinomycetota; Actinomycetes; Mycobacteriales; Corynebacteriaceae. RNAcentral also lists the same sequence under 1 other name.
CGGGAUAUGGCGCAGUUUGGUAGCGCACCUCGUUCGGGACGAGGGGGUCGCAGGUUCAAAUCCUGUUAUCCCGACAA